This 299-nucleotide signal recognition particle RNA is filed under the name Saimiri boliviensis boliviensis (Bolivian squirrel monkey). RNAcentral describes it as "Metazoan signal recognition particle RNA (ENSSBOG00000006952.1)". It matches the Rfam family "Metazoan signal recognition particle RNA". From Rfam's summary of the family: The signal recognition particle (SRP) is a universally conserved ribonucleoprotein. It is involved in the co-translational targeting of proteins to membranes. Lineage: Eukaryota; Metazoa; Chordata; Mammalia; Primates; Cebidae. The record is from RNAcentral.
GCCGAGCUCGGUGGCUCGUGCCUGUAGUCCCAGCUACUGGGGAGUCUGAGGUGGGAGGAACGCUUGAGCCCAGGAGUUCUGGGCUGUAGUGCGCUAUGCCUAUUGAGUGUCUGCACUAAGUUCGGCAUCAAUAUGGUGACCCCCUGAGAGUGGGGGAUCACAAGGUUGCAUAAGGAGGGGUGAACUGGCCCAGGUCGGAAAGGGAGCAGGCCAAAACUCCCGUGCUGAUCAGUAGUGGGAUCUCGCCUGUGAAUAGCCACUGCACUCUAGCCUGGGCAACAUAGCAAGACUCCAUCUCU